Molecule: transfer RNA, 71 nt
Organism: Camelus ferus (Wild Bactrian camel)
Lineage: Eukaryota; Metazoa; Chordata; Mammalia; Artiodactyla; Camelidae
Rfam family: tRNA
About the family: Transfer RNA (tRNA) molecules are approximately 80 nucleotides in length. Their secondary structure includes four short double-helical elements and three loops (D, anti-codon, and T loops).
Source: Rfam
GGAACUAUGACUCAGUACAGAGCACAUGUCUAGGAUGUGUGAGGUCCUGGGUUCAAGCCCCAGUACCUCCA